GUGGGGAAUCUUCCGCAAUGGACGAAAGUCUGACGGAGCAACGCCGCGUGAGUGAUGAAGGUCUUCGGAUUGUAAAGCUCUGUUAAUCGGGACGAAAGAGCCUAGUGUGAAUAAUGCUAGGAAGUGACGGUACCGGAAUAGAAAGCCACGGCUAACUACGUGCCAGCAGCCGCGGUAAUACGUAGGUGGCAAGCGUUGUCCGGAAUUAUUGGGCGUAAAGCGCGCGCAGGCGGAUCUGCCAGUCUGUCUUAAAAGUUCGGGGCUUAACCCCGUGAUGGGAUGGAAACUACAGGUCUAGAGUAUCGGAGAGGAAAGUGGAAUUCCUAGUGUAGCGGUGAAAUGCGUAGAUAUUAGGAAGAACACCAGUGGCGAAGGCGACUUUCUGGACGAAAACUGACGCUGAGGCGCGAAAGCCAGGGGAGCGAACGGGAUUAGAAACCCCUGUAGUCC
This 450-nucleotide ribosomal RNA is filed under the name uncultured bacterium. Its description in RNAcentral is "partial 16S ribosomal RNA". It matches the Rfam family "Bacterial small subunit ribosomal RNA", at positions 354 to 796 of the family's 1533-position model. The record is from RNAcentral.